ACCACUUAUCAGCCGCCCGCCCUGCCCUGCGCAGCCCGUCAGGGAAAGCCAUGCUCGCCGCUGCCCGCAGGUGCCGGCAGGCGCCAGCCCUGCGCCCCGGGGGCUGGCUGCGCUCCCGCUCUUCCCGCACGCACCGGCGGGUGUGAGACGUUUUGCAACGCGUCUCCCUGCACCUCCCGGCCGGUGGGCGGCGGCGGCGGCUCCGCUGGUUUCUCCCAGGGAAGAAGCCCCCAGCCCCGGGAUGGGUUUCUCGGCGCCGGCCCCUGCCGUGCGGCUCUGCGGCCACAGGGGUGCUAUUGAAAAGGAAGCUGAGAACGCAGGGACAGGUUGUACUUCCUGUGCUGAGAAGCAUGGACAGACUCAUCCUAUGUGCAAUAGACAGUCAAGAUUCAGUGUUUUAUAACCAGUUCCUCAGUGCAAGCGUGCUGUGUGACUUCAAGCAGAGCACAAGUUACCACACCUGCUUAACUGUUAAGGUCACACGAUAAAAAUUACUGACUCCAGAGAGAUUUGCUUCUUGACUCUUCUGACCAUUAAGCUAAGAUGGGGGAGAAUGCUCCUUUCUCUGGAUCGCUGGAGUUAAACCCACAACUGCAUCUAGAAAAGAUGACACCCAAAAGGAAGUCAAUACGGGGAAUUACCUGCUUAACCUCAAUCAGAAGAGAAUGAAAGCUGAAGUACAGCUGCCAAAGAAAAGCAGUGGUGGGUGGAAGAAAGGCCUACUUUGAGUGAAGCUGGAUGGAUGCUGCCUUCACCCUCAGCUCUACUGCCAGAGGGGGAUGUGCUUUGGUUUUGCUUCCUGUCCCUACCACCAGUGUGAGAAAGCAGGCAGGUGGGAAACUGGAACUGCAAAAACAUUCCCUGGUGUACAGUGGGGGUUGGCAGGUAAGUGGCAGGUGGGGGCUGCUGUCAGGGAAUGGACUAAGAGUGGCUGUACAAUGUGUAGGCAUGUUGUUAGAGUAUCUGUCUGCUGUAAUGGGUCCAAUAUAAUAAAAC
Pezoporus occidentalis (night parrot) is the source of this 996-nucleotide long non-coding RNA. RefSeq lists it as uncharacterized. The record is from RefSeq and is a predicted model, not a curated record. NCBI's taxonomy places the organism in Eukaryota, Metazoa, Chordata, Aves, Psittaciformes, Psittacidae. The transcript is spliced from 5 exons.